Molecule: long non-coding RNA, 957 nt
Filed under: Papio anubis (olive baboon)
Lineage: Eukaryota; Metazoa; Chordata; Mammalia; Primates; Cercopithecidae
Description: lncRNA (ENSPANG00000045193.1)
Source: RNAcentral
AUGGGAGUUCCCCUGCACAAACUCUCCCUUUGCUGGCAGCCAUGUAAGAUGUCCCUUUGCUCUUCUUCAUCUUCCACUAUGAUUGUGAGGCCUCCCCAGCCAUGUGGAACUCUCAACCUGUCUCAAGUUUGGCUCCAGGCAACAUGUACCAGAUGGUUCAUAGCGGUCAAACAUCUGUUCCCUUCUCCUCGGGACCAGACCAGCUCAAUUCACCUUCCAUGUGUCACUAUCCAUGGAGAUCUUCCCAAAGCACAGGUCUUUAAAUAACAACUUCUUCAACCAACUGCCAAUCAGGAAAUCUUUGAAUCCACCUGGAAUCCACCUGGAAGCCCACCAUCUCUGCCCACCCUGCUUCAAGUUGUCCUGCCUUUCUGAACUGAACCAAUGUACACCUUACAUGCAUUGAUUGAUAUCUGCCUAUAAUUUGUGUGCCCCUAAAAUGUAUAAAAUCAAGCUAUAACCCAACCGCCUUGGGUACAUGUUGUCAGGACCUCUUAACUCUGUGUCUUGGGCCCCGGUCACUCAUAUUUGGCUCAGAAUAAACCUAAUAUUUUACAGAUUUUGACUCUUUUCAUUGGAGAACACAUUUGCACCUUGCAACAGGAAGUCCAAGGCAGGUGGUCCCAGGGUCAGUAAGCUCAGCAGACCAACAAUAUCAGUGAGAAUCCCGAUCUUCCACAUCCCUUCCCAGGGCUGCCCUCAGGGCACAGCUCUGGUCCUCCAGCUGCUCUCUAGACAUGAUGGGGAAAGGCAGGGAAAGGGCCUGCAGAUAAACAGGCAAAUCACUGGCUUUGGUUAUUUUCCACACUUCAUAGAAGCAGAAAUAGCAGCACAGAGAGUAUAAGUAGCAUGCUCAAGUCACACAGCAGAGCCAGAGCAUUCUUUUGAAGUCCCCUUUCUACAAAUUGUGCAGCAUCCAUCUUUUACCUGCCCUUUCUCCAAUCAUAGACCCAUCAC